This is a long non-coding RNA of Triticum dicoccoides, 1855 nucleotides long. RefSeq lists it as uncharacterized. Lineage: Eukaryota; Viridiplantae; Streptophyta; Magnoliopsida; Poales; Poaceae. The transcript has 3 exons. The record is from RefSeq and is a predicted model, not a curated record.
ACAGCUCUCAAACUGCAGCCUAAUUUUGCUGUCAGUUCUCUGUUUUUGAUUUGGAUCUGAUAUGGUUAGUCCUAUCUAGUUUUUCUGUAUCUGCUACGGCUAGUCAUAACUACUUCCAUCUUUUAACGGCAGUCCUAGUUUUGUUGCUACCGUCUGACAUCUUCUUUUUCUUUCUCGUUUUAUCACAUGUAUGUAUCCCACGGGGCAUCACAUAAAUUACCAUUCAAGGUAGGUUCCAGUCUGCAGAUCACGAGGGACGGUAUGGCUGGAAUACGCUUGGUAACAGGGAGCAUUACCACUGCUGCGUACAAGACCUCUAAGGAAGACCAUCUCGUCAAUAAGCUCGAGAACAAGGGCCAUUAGUUUUUGCAAGUGGAGAUGCAACCAUUGGAAACCAGACCGAUGAUGCUACUUCGGCAAAUGAGACUGAGAACAGGCUCGCUGGAUGUUGGCGCCAAAGAAGCCAAAAGAGAUGGGUCGCCCAACAACUAGCCAAGAGAAGGCGCCGUACGAGGGGCUCAGCAAACGGACAAGCUUCUGCACGAUAUGUUGCCAGCAGGGGCACAAGAGGAUAACCUGAUAUCCCCAAGCCAGUUUGUAAACCAGUGCGGCACAAAAACUGCGGCGUUGAAGGUCACAAACGAAACAACUGCCGCAAAGUAGGUGAUCUGCGGCUAAAUAACAUGUGAUGUGCAACGAUAGUGAUUUGUGUUGCUAAUGUAUGUGUUUGUAUGUUGUUUUCAGGCGUAUCGUCUGUCUUUGUAUACAGAGUGGUGUACAUAUGGUUGUUGAUCUGUCUUGGUGCUUCUGUGAAGUGCAUUUCCCAUUGCCAACAUGGUUUCUGUUGGCUGAAUUUUUUACUGAGACAAUCUGGUUAUCUUUGGCUGCUGGAUGGGCAAUUGUGCUAAAUGCUGGACAAGUGCAUGCCUGUGUGAGGCCGCGCGCCCAGUGCUCGGCCGAUCCAUUUCUAAUUGCACUACAAGAGCAGGGAAAACAGAGGAGCAAUUACAUAAGCGUUCCUCCACCAUGCGUGCCCCAUCUGACCGAUCCAUUCCUUUUCAUUUAGGUAGAAAAGACUGAAUACUACAGGGCAGUUCUUGCCAUGGCUCUGACCGUGCUAUCCCUAUGGGCGUCUGGCAUUACAAAAUCAGAUGCAACUCGCAAGCUGGAUGAAGUAUCCGCAGAGGGUUCAGUUGAGCUGAAAGUUCAGUAAACCAGCCUGUAGGACUACAAGUUGUUGCGCUGACUUCAUCUUCUGGAGUGUCUGCUGUCUUUGAGCAGGAGACAUGCCAUGCAACCGCAGAUCUGGAGACAUAAGAGAUGGGCCCGCAGGACGAAGUGCAGAUGCAGGCGCUCCGCGCGGUGGAUGAACGGUGCAGAGAACACGAUCCGGAAAAGCAUGAUUAGCUGCUGUGUGAGCUUGCCGAGCCCCGAGCUUGAAGACGGCGAGCAGUCUACGGCUGGGGCGUGCGGCGACUGGAGAUAGCUGCCGUCGUUGGUCCAGAAUCAGCGAGUUAGCGGCCCAGUCCGUGACGCUGUACCAAUGGCCGUUUGCUAGAAGUGGGCCAAUAAAACUGUUCAUUAAUAGAUAUACGGCAGUAAUACGUGGGCCUGUAUGCGUCAGAAUGGGAAUCUCGAAGAUCACGAGCGGGAGGGAUAUCGCGAGCACCUACGAUCCCGCUUAGAAGAGCACUUUCGCAAGGUUCUAUUCUAUCAACAAGCUUUCAUGUGUCAUCAGCAGCUCUAUUACAAGUCUCUAGGGUCGGCUUACCCCAGUUUAGGUUACUACUCAUUGAUAUCUGAUAUGGAAGGUUGAAAAUUAGUCUUGAAAGUAUCAAUGGUUCUUUGAUCACCU